This 109-nucleotide non-coding RNA is filed under the name human gut metagenome. RNAcentral's name for it is "FMN riboswitch (RFN element)". It matches the Rfam family "FMN riboswitch aptamer (RFN element)". From Rfam's summary of the family: The RFN element is a highly conserved domain that is found frequently in the 5'-untranslated regions of prokaryotic mRNAs that encode for flavin mononucleotide (FMN) biosynthesis and transport proteins. This element is a metabolite-dependent riboswitch that directly binds FMN in the absence of proteins. The record is from RNAcentral.
GGUCUUCAGGGCAGGGUGUAAUUCCCGACCGGCGGUAUAGUCCGCGAGCGCUUCGGCGCUGAAUCGGUGCAACUCCGAUACCGACAGUAGAGUCUGGAUGAAAGAAGAU